RNAcentral lists this unclassified non-coding RNA (345 nucleotides) under soil metagenome. Its description in RNAcentral is "partial contains 5.8S ribosomal RNA, internal transcribed spacer 2, and large subunit ribosomal RNA". The stretch from base 1 to 119 matches the Rfam family "5.8S ribosomal RNA", at positions 35 to 154 of the family's 154-position model. The record is from RNAcentral.
GAUGAAGAACGUAGCGAAAUGCGAUACGUAAUGUGAAUUGCAAAUUCAGUGAAUCAUCGAGUCUUUGAACGCACAUUGCGCCCCCUGGUAUUCCGGGGGGCAUGCCUGUCCGAGCGCCAUUGCUGCCCUCAAGCACGGCUUGUGUGUUGGGCCCCGUCCUCCGAUCCCGGGGGACGGGCCCGAAAGGCAGCGGCGGCACCGCGUCCGGUCCUCGAGCGUAUGGGGCUUUGUCACCCGCUCUGUAGGCCCGGCCGGCGCUUGCCGAUCAACCCAAAUUUUUAUCCAGGUUGACCUCGGAUCAGGUAGGGAUACCCGCUGAACUUAAGCAUAUCAAUAAGCGGAGGA